UAUCUCUGUAGAGUCUGCAUAUCAAUAAGCGGAGGAAAAGAAACUAACUAGGAUUCCCUCAGUAACGGCGAGUGAAGCGGGAAGAGCUCAAAUUUGAAAUCUUCAAGGUUCUACCUUGACGAAUUGUAGUUUAAAGAAGUGUUUUCUGUUGGAGUUUUGGUAAAAGUUCUUUGGAAUAGGACAUCAUAGAGGGUGAGAAUCCCGUAUUUGACCAUUAUUUCCAGCUUUGUGAUACACUUUCAAAGAGUCGGAUUGUUUGGGAAUGCAGUCCAAAAUGGGUGGUAAAUUUCAUCUAAAGCUAAAUAUUGGCGAGAGACCGAUAGCGAACAAGUACCGUGAGGGAAAGAUGAAAAGAACUUUGAAAAGAGAGUUAAACGGUACGUGAAAUUGUCAAAAGGGAAGCGUUUGACACCAGUGUUGUUUUCUCGAAAAUCAAUUAAAAAUGGCGGGAUUUUGUGUUGUAUUGACUUUAUCAGCUUUCUGCACUCUUUUCCUGUCUUUUUUAAUGCACUUUUCGUUUAACAAGUCAACAUCAAUUUCUUUUGUUGUAAAUGAGUCAUUGGAAGGUGGCUUUCUUUUCGGAGAAAGUGUUUGUAGCCUUUGGCUUCUGCAAUCGGAGAGAUUGAGGUCUGCAGCGUAGAUCCUUCGGGGUUAGAUACGUAGAUGCUAAGUUAUAGCUUUUUAUAGACAACUUGUUGACUAUGAUUAAGUCAUGUAGCUUACUCGUUUACGCUAUUUUACCUACGCUUAGGAUGUUGAGUCAUCACACAUCUCU
Molecule: ribosomal RNA, 775 nt
Filed under: uncultured Neocallimastigales
Lineage: Eukaryota; Fungi; Neocallimastigomycota; Neocallimastigomycetes; Neocallimastigales
Description: partial large subunit ribosomal RNA
Rfam family: Eukaryotic large subunit ribosomal RNA
Source: RNAcentral